AGAAAAAAAAAAGAAAAAAUUGAAAGAAAAGAGAGAGAGAAAAAAAAGAAGAAAAAGAAGGAGCCUGACACGAAGGAUGAGUCCCGAGGAAUUCGAGGGGUAGGAGUUGCUGUCUCUUUAUUGAGGCGGAUGCAUAAUUGAGGUGCCUUUCCUGGCCGGGUUUUCCCCUGUGGGUUGUCCCGGCUGCAAGGCACAGCUCCGGGCCAUGCCGCGCCGUCGGUGCACCGCCUCGGCCCCCGCCCGCUCGCCACGGGGACGCGAGUCCCCGCCAUCACACACGCGUGGAGGAGAAGGAAGAGAAAGGAGAAGGCGCCGAGAAGAGGCUUGCUUCCCGGUUGCCCACCUCGGUUCAUCGCCUCUCAGGCUGUCGACAGGGAGCGGGGAGCGGAGACUCGCGGAAGCCCCAUCGAAGCUGCGUUUUUGCAGGGGUGUGCAUGUGCUCCUCUGUAAUGAAAGCUGAGAAGCAGACCUUCGUCCACCGUGGUAGACAUAGCCACAUGCCCGGGUUUUACAAGGAUUUUCCAGAGCGUGGGCAUUUCACUGAGCGACCACCGCAGUGCUACAGAUGCCCGGGUGCGGGCUGGUGGCAGCACCGGGUCCCAGACACACAGGCCUGAACGUACACAUGUGUUUCGAUGCACAUAUACGGAUUUCAAUUGCACGGACGGCAGAGGAAUACCUUCGGAUUAACCGUGGAUAAGAUUCUCCCAGUCUUAGACAACGAAUUAAUGCAAGAACUGAAAUCUCUAUUUAUCCUUUUGCUUCCAACAUAAAUUGUAUAAUUUAUCAUCUAAAUAUGGGGCCCCACAGACUUCUGCAUGCCGUUUUGCUCCAUCAGCGAAAGGAAAACUUAGAAUCAAUUCAACAGGUCUCUUGUGGUUUGGAGAAAGGCAAGUUUGACUAUUUUGAUUUAAAAAAACAACACAAUAUUCCCUCUGAAUUCAGCUCAGUGAUACAAUUUCUGAAACUGGCUAGACACUGCAUUAUAAAAAUCACAAAUUUUAAAAGUCUUCCGUGCAGUCCAGUCCGUAUUUUUUUCUACU
Columba livia (rock pigeon) is the source of this 1043-nucleotide long non-coding RNA. RefSeq lists it as uncharacterized. The transcript has 2 exons. The record is from RefSeq and is a predicted model, not a curated record. NCBI's taxonomy places the organism in Eukaryota, Metazoa, Chordata, Aves, Columbiformes, Columbidae.